This 253-nucleotide ribosomal RNA is filed under the name uncultured bacterium. RNAcentral's name for it is "partial 16S ribosomal RNA". It matches the Rfam family "Bacterial small subunit ribosomal RNA", at positions 524 to 776 of the family's 1533-position model. The record is from RNAcentral.
UACAGAGGGUGCGAGCGUUAAUCGGAAUUACUGGGCGUAAAGCGUGCGUAGGCGGUUCGUUAAGUCAGAUGUGAAAGCCCCGGGCUUAACCUGGGAACGGCAUUUGAUACUGGCGAACUAGAGUUUAAUAGAGGGGAGUGGAAUUUCAGGUGUAGCGGUGAAAUGCGUAGAUAUCUGAAGGAACACCAGUGGCGAAGGCGACUCCCUGGAUUAAAACUGACGCUGAGGUACGAAAGCGUGGGUAGCAAACAGG